CCUACGGUGAGCAGCAGUCGAGAAUCAUUCACAAUGGGGGAAACCCUGAUGGUGCGACGCCGCGUGGGGGAAUGAAGGUCUUCGGAUUGUAAACCCCUGUCAUGUGGGAGCAAAUUAAAAAGAUAGUACCACAAGAGGAAGAGACGGCUAACUCUGUGCCAGCAGCCGCGGUAAUACAGAGGUCUCAAGCGUUGUUCGGAAUCACUGGGCGUAAAGCGUGCGUAGGCUGUUUCGUAAGUCGUGUGUGAAAGGCGCGGGCUCAACCCGCGGACGGCGCAUGAUACUGCGAGACUAGAGUAAUGGAGGGGGAACCGGAAUUCUCGGUGUAGCAGUGAAAUGCGUAGAUAUCGAGAGGAACACUCGUGGCGAAGGCGGGUUCCUGGACAUUAACUGACGCUGAGGCACGAAGGCCAGGGGAGCGAAAGGGAUUAGAUACCCCAGUAGUC
RNAcentral lists this ribosomal RNA (446 nucleotides) under uncultured bacterium. RNAcentral's name for it is "partial 16S ribosomal RNA". It matches the Rfam family "Bacterial small subunit ribosomal RNA", at positions 338 to 795 of the family's 1533-position model. The record is from RNAcentral.